UUUACAAUUAUUUUUAAAAUAUGUUACAUUCAGCCUACUCGGCGUUAUGGUGGGGUUCCGCACUAGCUCAGGAGGGAGCGGUUAAUCCAGGGGGUUCUCAACCCUGCCACCAUCAACCCUAGGGAAUGAACACUUAAAGAAUUGUACUGGAACAAACACAAACACAGAAAAACUGAAAACAAACAUACACAACAUACACCUAUGACACAGGAGCUUGAUAUUAUUGCUCCCCCACUAUGCCCACCCAUCCUUGACCCUUUAGUCCAAAUACACUCAAAAAAUUUAAAAAGGGCCCCAAAAAGCCACACACACUCACUUACAACGCCUAGUCUCCUCUCUCACAAAUAAAAUUUAGCACAACAUAUUAUUUCUUUAGACAAAUAGACAUUAAGCUUAUUUAUUAGAAUCAUUAUCGUUCUCUUAAAACUAAUUUCAACACGAACACAUAAAAAAAACUGGAUUAUUAAUACCCGAACGAAAAAAAAAUUUGGUGUUUCCGUCAAAGGAAAAGGAACUUCAUAUGACUUUUUUCAGCGGGAUUUGGCUUUUUUUCUUUUCUUUGAUUUUUAGGUGGGAUCUACUGGUUAGCUUCCCGGAUUGGUACUGUUGCCUGUUCCAAGGGUUAUCCACUGGCAGUUUCCCAGGUCUUUUGGCCGUUUCCAGAACCUUUUCGUUGCCUGGAACCCCUGUGCCGCACCUGGCGAUACAAAAAUAAUUGUUGAGGAUGCCCGCUUCUUUUUCGUCCAAGUCGGAUGGCGUUGUCCAAUUGUGGAUUUAUGCGCGGCGUUAUUCCUAAAUAGAACACAAAAACUUAACACAACACAUCCGACAUAACACCACUUACAAAUCAACACUUACAAAUUGUUUAGAUACGCCACACAAAUAAAAAAUAAAACACACAAAUUGUAACUGCCAAUUCAGUAUUUCAUUUUUAUAUUCAC
Molecule: long non-coding RNA, 941 nt
Organism: Musca domestica (house fly)
Lineage: Eukaryota; Metazoa; Arthropoda; Insecta; Diptera; Muscidae
Exons: 3
Source: RefSeq, a predicted model, not a curated record